UUGCUACAGCCAACAACUAAAAAGCAGUCCAAGGGAGUCUUUACAGCCAAGCGUCUAACCUUUGAGUUCUAGUCCCAUAAAGUCCCCCUUCUUUUAAGAAAAACAAAAAUUCAUCUAUAUGAAUAUAAGGAUUAUAUAGUAAAUGGCCCAGAAUGAUCAGAAAAUGAAAUAUUUCCAUAAAUUAAAAAUUCAGAAUGAUUGGUAAUGUUUUCCUACUCACAAUCACAGUGUUUCAAAAGCAUUAGAUUAUUAUAACUAUAUUGAAUAAGACAAUGUUUCUCUGACAAUUAGGAGAUCGUUAAAAAACCAGCAACCUUGGAGUGCCCUGGAGUCAUAAUGAUAAACACUGAGUUUUCUCUUGUAGCACUCUAAGGAAGCUAAGACCUAGCUGGGGCCUUAAAGACAAUUUUACAGAAGACGGAGAUUGGGUUCUUUGUACAGACUUUAUGAUAUAGCCCACAAGUUGGUUAUUUUUUAUUUUAAUGUGCCUUGGCACUUGUUACUCAGGAAAACUUGGGUGUAGAACAGACAAAUGCAUAACCCUUUGGGCACAUUCAUGUACUUGCCUUUCUAUGAGUGUAAUUUUACAAUGUGUAGUGAAGAAGCCUUUGCUAGAAGUAUUUUGCUUCACACAAACCAUUGUCACUGAUUUCACCGGGGCCCUGUAACUUUUUUGUGUUGGUGUUGUGUCACUUUAUCCUCUUAUCAACAUGCACUUGCUCUUUUAUUACACUCUUAUUUGAGCCUUGCUGAUUAGAUACAAAAGAACACUAUUUAUCAAGAGUGUAUUAGACUUAUUUUAGAGCCUCAUUCCAAGUGCCACAGUCUCUUUUGCUUCCAUAGAUACUUCAAAUAUCCAGCAACCCCGCCCCCUUCUGUUUCCCAUGAGAUUUUACUUGAAACAAAAAUCUAGGCAUGGACACUUGAAAUGGCAUCACUGCUACUGUGAGAAACCUUUCUAGUGUUUACGUAAUGUAGAAAACUUCAUGAAAUCUCUUUCCAACGAGAUUCCACACUCUAAACGAUGCCCUGGUUCACAUGCUGAAUUGAUGAAGACAGGUACAAUGAUGAGCAGCAGAUUGGUUAAAAAAAAAUCACUGGAUACUGCCUGUGCUUCACUGAGAGGACACAGCAAUUGUUCUAACUAAAUGGCUUGUCCUUAGGUUUGCAACAGGGAAGAAACCAAGGAGAGAAAGGAUGAGUUCAACCACGAAUCCUCUGGGAGAAUUAGAUGUGGGGCUCUGAGUGUUCUUGCAUGUGCAUGCUAUUUUCCAGUUCUGAAAAUUGACAUUCUACAAAUCUACUGUCUUAAUGCAUCAAAAGAGUUAAUGUGUUAUCCUAAUGAUCAUCAAACACUUUCGGGAUGGAACAGUAAGUACUAGGCAAAAGGAGGGAAGAGAAGAUGGUCGUGAAUAAUGAUGGCCAUAAUACUGACAAUUCUGAAGUUCUUUUCUGUGGGAAUGUGUAAUCUCUUCUUUCCUCUAGAUGGGAUUACCAAAUUAGAUGAUCAAAAUCUCAUAAAGUGGGGUAUGUGGUAUACACAUGUAAUGCCAGCACUCAGUAGGCAGACACAGAAUCCUAAGUUGGAGGCCAGCAUGGGUUACAUGGUAGAACCCUGUCUCAUAAAACCAAGGGCUGGAGAUAAAGCUCAGAGAUAGAGCAAUGACCAGUAUGUGCACAGCUCUGGUCUCAAUUCCCAGUAUUAAAACAACAACAAGCAAACAAGCUCUUAGAUGAAGGGAGUUUUGUUUUCUUUGGGGAGGGUGGGGUAUUUGCUCUACACUUCCACAUCAUAGUCCAUCAUUGAAGGAAGUCAGGACAGGAACUCAAACAGGGCAGGAACCUGGAGGCAGGAGCUGAUGCAGAGGCCAUGGGGGCGGGGUGCUGCUGCUUACUUUUAUUCUCAUUGGCUUACAGAAAUAAAUACACGUUUAGAUAAGAUUGCUAAAAUUCCCACAAAAUGAGGAAACUGAACUUUCAAGACCUCCAACAUGCUAAAAAGUAAUCUUUAAAAACCUAUCCAAGCCAGGCGGUGGUGGCGCACGCCUUUAAUCCCAGCACUCGGGAGGCAGAGCCAGGCGGAUCUCUGUGAGUUCAAGGCUAGCCUGUUCUACAGAGUGAAAUCCAGGACAGGCAGGGCUACACAAAGAAACCCUGUCUCGAAAAACCAACAAACAAAACAAAACAAAAAACCUAUCCAAGUGCCAGGUGUGGUGGUAUAAGUCUUUAAUCCCAGCAAGCAGAUCUUUGUGAGUUCAAGGCCAGCCUGGUCUACAUAGCAAGUUCCAAGCUACCAAGGACUACAUAGUUAAGACUAUCUUUUUUAAACUUCCUUUUUAUUUAUUCUUUGUAGCUUUCACAUCAUGCAUCUCCCCCAUACCUUCAUAUCCACUCUGUGCCCUUGCAAUCUCCCCCUAAAAUAAUAUCCACUCUGUGCCCUUGCAAUCUCCCCCUAAAAUAAAAUAAAAUUUAAGAGAAAAGCAAAGAAGAAAAAUCUUGUCAUCGAAGCUGUACUGUGACACAGUGAGUUACACAAUAUACCCUUUAGUCCAUAUAUCUUUACUUGCAAAUGUUCAUUGCAAACAAUCAUUGGUCUGGUUUGAGGCCUCUGGCUUCUGCUACACCAUCAAUACUGGAUCCUCACUGGGGCUCCUCUUGGAUAUCCUGUUGUUGCCCUGUGUCAUGGAGAUCCUAUAGCUUUAGAUCUGCAGGACCGGCCCCUUCACAUGCUCCAGCAGAUCAUAGAGGGGAUGGAUGCUGGGGUGUGCCAACUCAUAAUCUGGGUAGUUGCAGGGUUGGUCAGUCCACCAGGGUGAGAUCUCCAGCACUGUCCCGGCUAAUUUACCCCUUGCAAUGAGCAAGGAGCGGGGCCAGUUCUGCUUUCAUACUCUCAGGGUCAGCUCACCCACACCUACACUACCAGGGUCAGCUCACCCACACCUACACUACCAGGGUCAGCUCACCCACACCUACACUACCAGGGUCAGCUCACUCACACCUAUACUACCAGGGCCAGCUCACCCAUACCUACACUACCAGGGCCAGCUCUAUUGUGCUGCACAGGCGAAGUGCAGGGGCCACUCUCCUGAAUGCUGCAGCUAGCUGGUGAGAGGCAGGGAAAGCUCUCCUGUUCUUGGGAUCUCAGGGCCAGCUCUCCCAAAUGCCACCGGCAGUGAAGGGCAGGGCGGGGAUGUCUCUUCCUUGCCACCUUUUGGCAGAUGAGGGGCAGGGUCAGAUCUCUCAAGCUCACAUUCUCAGGCUGGUUCAUCUACACCCUGUCAACAGGGUCAGCUCUACUGUGCUGCCCAGGCGAGGUGCAGGGCCAGCUUUUCCGAGUGCUGCAGCUGGUAAGGGGGAGGGUCGAGGCACGCAGGGCAUCUUUCCCCUGCCCUCACCACCACAUGACAGACAAGGGUGGUAUGGCCAGUUAUCCCACCCUCAUGAGAGGGUCAGCGCCCUCAUCUGCCACAGGUGGCAAGGGCCAAGGGGCAGUGAGACUCUAUCUUUUAAAAAAAGAGACAUAUUUUAAGAAUUCAAGAUCAUACAAUUUAUGUAAAAUUUUAAUAAUUAAGACUAAUUUAAUAAUUUACUAAAAGCAAUUAUAUCUUCUCAGUUGCAGGUAUAAUAAACAGGAGUAUUUUUAGUCCACUUAGAUAUGUUCUUCCUAAACAUUUUACAGGUUUAUUGAUGGAACGAGCUAGCAUUACUUCUAACAAAUGUUUAAUAGUUCGCAAAAUGUACAUUUGUUUAACCAAGUUGAGCCAUUAUUAUGGCAAACUUUACUUCAACAGUAAUUGUGUUUUGUAUUCUAUUAGCUUAAGAUAAUUUGUAAGAUCUUAAGGUAACUGAAAAUUCUGGCUGAUGCCUAAUUUAAUUAUUUCUAAGGAAAUGUUGAAGUAUUAGCACAGAACCUUGGGCUUAUAUGCAUUUGCUUCUUAUCUGUGCAUGUGCAUGUGAAUGCAUGGUACAUUCAUGUGUUUACUGCAUGCAGAAGUCAGAGGUUGAUUUUGGGUAUCUCAGGCUUGCUUUUAUUUACUGAAGAAGGGUCUCUUGCUGAACCUGGAGCUCACAGAUGCGGCAAGUCUAGCCAGUCAGUUUGCCCUAGGGCCCCUCUGUCACCACCUCCCACGCACUGGGAUUACAGGCAGGCCACCAAGCCUACCUGGCUUUUUUAUGGGCUGGUGAUCCAAACUCUGGUCCUUACGCUUAGGCAGUAAGUAUUUUAUCCAGUGAACCAUCUCACUAGCUCUGCUUUUAUUUUUAUAAGUUACAGGACGCUAUAUUUAAGUGUGUUAAAGGGUGUGUUCUUUUUGCCACCAACAGAGGGACUUUGUACUAUAAAGGUAUGUAUGUACUAUAAGGAUACAGAAAGUUGUAGAGGGUUCACAAAAGAGAAUUUUAUUUGUUUAGGUCAAAGCUGGCUAAAUUUUGGUGUAUGAUUUAUAAAAUUUCUCACAAGAACUCUAAUUCCAAGCAUAUUGAUGAAAAACUAGUUUUGUUAUUUCUGUGUCUAAAAGACAAAGAAUUUUGGAUUCUUAGUCUGUUCUUACAGCAAGCUGGGAAUGGCUUGCCUUACCUUCUGGAAAACCUUCUUAGGUAACAAAGAUUCUGUGUCUUCCCAGAAUUAUCUUCCAGGGUUUCCUACUUUUCAUGUCCACUGGCCUCACAUAUGGCAAACAAGCCUUCUUUUUUGGGAUCUGUUCCCAUCUUUCUCUAUUACUUAAGAAAGCAAAGUCUUCUCACUUAGGAAGGAGCUAACAGCUUUAGGCUUUACCAUCACUUUACUUCUAUGCUUAUAUGGACAAUAUUUUAUUGUUACUUAGGUAACAACACAUAAUCCUAUCUUAAUCAAGUCUCAGAGAGCCGAUAGGACAAAACCACAAAGGAUUUUUGUUUGACUUCAUAAAAAGAGAGGCACCUAUGACAAUUAGCUUUGUGUUGUGUUAUUAUUGCAACAUCACAUAGGCAGAGCCAUCAAGCCAAAAGUGGUAAUUUGCCUCUCCUAGGUUAAAAUGGUAAAAUGUUACCAAUAUAAAUAUUUCAGAAACUGUAUGCUGUAUGAGAUCAUGUAUGUCUCCACCGGUCAUGAUAUGUUUCUAUUUGUCAGAGUUAAGCUUGCUUCUUUGUCAAAUGUUAGACAACUAGAGGACCACAGCUCUCACCCAUCUGUGAGGACUACAUGCCAACACCCCUAGUGGGUUCCUGAAACCCUGGAAAGUACAAAACACUUUAUAUAUCACGUUUUUCUGUAUGUAUGUAUGUAUGUAUGUAUGUAUGUAUGUGUGAGAUACAUAGCUGGCUUAUGAUAAAAUCCAAAUUACAAGUGAGGCACAAUAAAAGAUUAACAAUAAUAUCAAAAUGGAACGAUUAGAAUACAGCAUAAUAAAAGUUAUAUGAAAUAUAGUCUUGUUCUCUGUCUCUCCAGAUACACUUUAAAACAUUUUUCUCUUUUAUUAUUUUAUGCAUAUAGGUAUUUUGCUUGCACGUAUGUCUGUGCACCACAUGCCUAUCACCUCAUGUGGAGGCCAGAAGAGGGCAUCAGAUCCCCUGGAACUGGAGUUACUGUUAUGAGCUGCCAUGUGGGUAAUGGACUUCAACCUGGGUCCUUUGGAAGAGCAAUCAGUGCUCUUAAUGCCUGAACCAUCUCUCCAGCCCCUCUCCAAAUAUAUUAAUGUCCUGGACUGAUCAUGGUUCAUCAUGAGGAACUGAAACUGAGGAAUGUGAAAUCAUGGAUGGGGGUUGUUGUAGUUAGGGUUUCUAUUGCUGUGAUAAAACACCAUGACCAAAAGCAACUUGGGGAGGAAAGUGUUUAUGACAUUUUACAGCUUGUAGUUCAUCAUCCAGGAAAGUCAGGGCGGGAACCUAGAGGCAGGAACCAAACCUGAUGCGGAGACCCAUAGAGGAGUGCUGCUUACUGGCUUGCUCCUCAUGGUUUGCUCAGCCUGCUUUCUUAUAGAACCCAGGACCACCACCCUAAGGAUGGAACCACCCACAGUGGGCUGGGCAUUGCUUUCAACUGAGGCUCCCUCUAGUUUAUGCCAAGUUGACAAACACUAGCCAGCACAGGGGCCUAAUGCACGAAGUUUUCACUCAAAAUUUCAGGAGUUUUUGGUUCAGUGUUAACUUGAUCAUAACUAUGCUUCUUGAUUUUGAAUCUUGGAUCUUCCUAGUCACUAGUUUUCAACUGGGGAUUCAUAUCAUUUCCCUAAUACAAAUGUUUAAGAUGUAGUCUAGAUUUCUGAAUCUCUUUAUUUGCUUUCCCUGAUAGAGUCUGGGUAUAAUCUAACUAAAUGCUUGAUACAUUCAUUUUACACUGGGUCCAGAUUUUUAUAUGCUAUUUCUGAGUCUUUUCUCUAUAAAGAUAAUGUUCAUACAUUUUUAUAAAUUAGACACAAUACCCUGUCUUCUUUGAAAAGAGUUAAUCAUUAUGUUUACAGAUAUUUUGUUGACGAUUUUUGGAUUGGCUUUUAUCUUGUUUUGCAUGCCACAGUAACAACUACAUCUCCUUGUCAGCUGCAUUAUUAUUCCUGUAAUGAACUCUCAUCAGAUUUUUCCCUUUUGAAAAUGAGCAGUAAUAAGGUAACCACAGCUAUUGUAAGCCUUUUGUCAUCUACACAUUGCUUUUUAUGUUUUCUUUCAAUGCUUCCCUGAAAGUACCUACCACUCACUAUAAGCUAGAGGGCUUCCAUCUCAACAAAAUACCCUCUGAGAGCUCUGACAGCCUCACGAGAAAGAACUGUGCUGGGGGCUUUUGUGCGCAAGCUUCUGUCGGAUAGUUUACUUUCUUUUAUUAUGUGGUACUGAGGAUUGUACCUAGGGCUUUAUACAUGCUAGGCAGAUGCUCUACCACUGAGCUAUAGCCCCAACCCUGGUUUACUUUUUCUUUUCUUCUGUCUCUCACUCUCCCCCCCCCCCAGCCUCAGGGGCAGAACCUACUGCCUCACAUAUGUGAGACAAGCACUUUAGGACUGAGAACCACCCUAGAACAAGUUUGAAGCCACACUAGUGAAUAGUAAACUAAGACAAAAUUUUGAAAACUAGCUGAAAAGAAGGUGAGUUAAUAAUUCUCCUAACUCAAGCCUGAAGGGCAUAACUAUUAAUCAUAGAGACCCCUCAAGGAGCUGAUGAAGGAUGAUCAGGAGUUCUGUUUGGAAUAUUGGUUGGUUUGUUUUGAGACAGGGUCUCAUGGCUGGCCUGAAACUCACUAUACAGAGCAGGCUGGCCUUGAAUUUGUGGCAGCCCUUCUGCCUGUCUCCUUAGUGCUGGGAUUGACAAGCAGGAGCCGAUACACCUUGCUGGCCACCUGCUAUUUCCAUGGCUUGCUCUUGUUAAAUCCUAGCCAUGUUAGUACAUACAUGGUGGCAUCCCAUUGAGGAUUUGAUUUGUGUUUCCAUGAUGACUGAUACCAGACUUCUUUUCAGAUUCUGGUCGCCCUGUGUAUGUGUUUGAAAGAUGCCUAUUCAAGUCCUCUGUCUAGUCUGAAAUUUGUCUUUUUCCUGUUGAGAAGGAUUAUUCAUAUUUUCUGCAUAGUAAGACCUUAUCUAUCAGAUAAAUGACUGACAAAUAUCUUCCCAUCAUGUAGGUUGUCUUUUCCUUUUCCUUAAUGUUCUUUGACACAUAAAAGUUGUUAAUUUGAUGCCAGUUACAUGGCCCAGUGUAUAAAGACACUUCCCAUGUUAGCCUGGCUCAGUGUAUAAAGACACUUCCCAUGUUAGCCUGGCUCAGUGUAUAAAGACACUUCCCAUGUUAGCCUGGCUCAGUGUAUAAAGACACUUCCCAUGUUAGCCUGGUGACCCAGGUUUGAUCCACAGAACCUAUGUAAAUAUGGAAGAAGAGACCUGACUCCACAAUGCUGGCAUCUGACCCCUCUACAUGUGCACUGUGGCACACACACUCACACACAUUAUGCACACACACACACACACACAUACACACACACACACAUUUUAAAAGGUUUUAUAAUUUGAUCAACUCAAGUUUAUCUCUUUUUUACUUUUAAUAUUUUUGUCUCCAAGUGGGUAGGGUUACAAGUAUGUAUCACAUCUGGCUUGCUUGUUUGACAUGGGGUAUCAUUAUAUACCUACCUUAGAUUAUUAUUAUUGUUGUUGUUGUUGUUGAUUUGGAUUUUUGAGUCAGUCUCGUUAUGUAGCUCUAACUAUCCUGGAAUUCACCUCUCAGAGAUCUGGCUACUUCUGCAUGCAGAGUACAGAAUUAAUGUGUUUACCACUAUGCCUGGCUCUAGCUUGGAUCUGAAUUUGUGACCUUCCUGCCUCAGCCUCCAAAAUCCUAGGAUUAUAGCAAAGCAUGGUGGCGUACACCUUUAAUCCCAGAACUCAGGAGGCAGAGACAGAGGCAGUUAUAUUUCUGUGAGUUCAAGGCCAGACUGGUUUACAUAAUGAGUUGGAGGCCAGCCAAGGCUACAUAGUAAGAGACCCUCUCUCAAAACUGAACAAACAAAACCAAACAAAAAACAAAACCAACAAGAAACCCACACUAGCACCAAAAGUCCUGGGAUUAUAGCUUUUCACCAUACCUAGUUCUUGUGGUCAUUAAGUCAUCUAUGUUUAAAGACACCUCAAUUACUGGACUCUAAAACAACUGACCUUUGGUAUUACCGCUUAGCAGAUGGCUCACUGAGUUUACAGGAACGACAGUGCCCGAGAGACUUUCAUACACGUCUGCUUCGGUCCACGCAGGAUUGUGAUUGACAUUUGUCUUAAACAAAGGGGAGAGAUGACUGUGUUGAAGUUUAUCUGAGCCCUGCUUACCCUAGAAAGCUGAGAUGGCUAAGAAAUUUUUCCCACCUCUGGUUUUCCAAGAAAAGAUGAAGCACAGGGUUCACCCUCCCUUGGCACAUUAUUCCAGGUGCAAAUCCACCUCCACCCUCCCUUAUAAGACUUACAGAUGACUCACUUGUUUGUCUGCCACUGGAACAACGCGGGCCCCCUUCCUGUUCUUUGAGAUGGCUCUCAUUCCCGAAUGGCCUCCCAUUGCAAUAGCUGAAUAACUAACUGCCUUAGAUGCCCACUGCAUUCUGUCUUUCCCAUCACUGACACGCAUGUCCAGGAGAGACCAGGUUCAACAUACAUAUUUCUGAACACUUUGGGGAAUGAGUAUGCAGUUCUGUGAUCAGGCAAUUGCUUAAAAAAUAACCCCCCCCAAAAAGACAGAGCUCCACCUACCUUCUUAAAUGCCUUGACGAGCUGUGCCCCACAAAGUCAGUCUUUAACAAAAAAGCAUAAUGCUCAGUCAACUGCAUUUACUGGUUUUUAUGCCCAUUAAAGGUCAGGGACAGCCAGGUGUGGUGGCUCAAGCUUUUAACCCCAGCACUUGAGAGGCAGAGGCAGGUAGAUCUCUGAGUUCAAGACCAGCCUGAUCUACAGAGUGAGUUCUAGCACAGGGCUACAUAGAGAGACUGUGCCUCAACAAACAAACAAACAAACAAACAAACAAACAAUAAAUAAAUAAAUAAAUAAAAAUGUCAGAGAGACUGUGCCUCAACAAACAAACAACAAACAAAUAAACAAACAAACAAACAAAUAAAUAAAUAAAUAAAAAAUGUCAGAGAUGCUUGGGUCCUGAUGUGAAGACUUUGAGGUAAAACAUCAGGUGGCCAUCUCACUCUGGCAAAAGCACAUGCCAACACUGUUCUAUCACUUCAAAGAUUCUACAAAAAUAUUUUAUAAAAUGUUUGCUGCUGAUAUUUAUUGAUGGACAUUUAGAGUAUUCCCAGUCUAUCCCUUUUACAAGUAAGUAUUCUGCAGCAGAGAAUCUCGAAUAUGCCAUUUUGAAUAUGUACAAAUAUGUAUGAAAGACUAUUAGAUGAGUAAUCCCCGAAUCAAAGAUUUUACUUGUAAUUUAAUUAAAAUUGCCAAAAUUGUCUUGCAUUUAGUCUAUAAUUGUGAAUACCGUGUUAGCAAACUUUUAUGCAUGUAAUAAUGUAAAAAUGGGAAAAUGGGGAAAAGUUAGCAUUAUAGACUUUUAAUGAUAUUUUCUCAUUUGGACCUUUCUAAAAAGACUUAAUCAUAUGUCUGUUUUCUCUUUUAGUGUUAACAAACAGCUUAACAUUCUUUGCUUCCAUUAUAGCUGUUUUGGAACCAGCUGAAAAUACAGUUUGGCUCUGUAGGUAUACAACAAAAAUAUCAGCCACUAUUUAUUGGGUGUUAGCCUGUGCCAAGAACUGUACCAAAUGCUUUCAGCGGUGUUGACUCAAUCAAUUCUCACAACAGUCAUGUGAGAAAAAGCAGCAAAGAAGAACCCUCACAGGUUCCAAAGCCAUUUCCUAGGAUGUACCUCAAAUUUUUCCAGGUUCAGUCAACAAUGUCUACCUCUAAUGCUCUUGGUUCAGUGGAGUCCAGGAGGCUGAGAGAAGCGGCAAGAUUAAGUCAGACCCACUCUCCUGCGCUUACUAAAGCAGAAAUGUAUAGGUCCUCAUAUUUGUGAGUUCUCAUGCAGGUGCCAGCAUGGGAAGGGACUGAGCAGCAAGGGACAAGGACAUGCCAUCCAUGGAUGAAACGAGCCGUCUGCCUUGGUGGUGAGAUGACGUGGCGGCCUUGGGAUCCAGGUCUCCUUUUCAUGCAGUUAUCUACAUGUUGAGGAAGGACAGAAGGACCAAAUGGCUAGAACCUCUCAAUCUGCUCCUCGCAGUGAGAAAAGGAGGAAAUGAGAGAAGGAAGGAAGCAAGUUACAUGGGAUGUGGGGCCUCGAACCUGCUGAGUCCCUGUUGUCUCUUCUGGAUUCUGCUGCAGGGCAUAUGCUUCGAUCAGAGAGUGAACCAUACUGGCCUGAAAUGUCAGCAUAAAAGAAAAAAGGCAGAAGAGUCUCUUCAAGGUUCAAUUUACUGAAAUCCCAUUACCAACGUCCUGCGGGAAGAACUAACAACUGUAUCUCUUCUCCCUUCUUUCACUUUAACAGUUGGGAUACACUUAAGACAAAACAGAUACAAAGUAUCAAAAUCGCCAAGACGGACGCUUCCAGCCUUACUUAAGGCAAGUGAUGGACUACUCUCUCCCAACAGCUUGUGGUCGAGGGCUUCAAUGAACCCCUCCUAUUAGAAACUACGGUCACCUCUUCACCAUUCCUUCCCCCUCCCCCGCCUCCACCCGCACCCAUAUGUUGGCAGCCCCGCUGCGCUCCCCAAAGGUAACCACUUCCUUCUGCUUCAGCUUGGUGUGCCUGAAACUGCUAGUAAAAUUUUUGCUGAAGGUAUCCCUCAGUCCAGUUUUCCUAGCUUCCUAAUUGUACUCCCCUUUUCACACCCCCACCCCCAUCCCCCAAAACGAUGGUCUUUCAUCCAGACCU
Long non-coding RNA from Peromyscus californicus insignis, 11301 nucleotides. RefSeq lists it as uncharacterized. Lineage: Eukaryota; Metazoa; Chordata; Mammalia; Rodentia; Cricetidae. The record is from RefSeq and is a predicted model, not a curated record. The transcript is spliced from 5 exons.